AUUGAACGCUGGCGGCAGGCCUAACACAUGCAAGUCGAACGGUAGCACAGAGAGCUUGCUCUCGGGUGACGAGUGGCGGACGGGUGAGUAAUGUCUGGGAAACUGCCCGAUGGAGGGGGAUAACUACUGGAAACGGUAGCUAAUACCGCAUAAUGUCGCAAGACCAGAGAGGGGGAGCUUACGGCCUCUUGCUUUCUGAUGUGCCCAGGUGGGAUUAGCUAGUUGGUGAGGUAAUGGCUCACCAAGGCGACGAGCCCUAGCUGGUCUGAGAGGAUGGCAAGCCACACUGGAACGGAGACACGGUCCAGACUCCUACGGGAGGCAGCAGUGGGGAAUAUUGCACAAGGGGCGCAAGCCUGAUGCAGCCAUGCCGCGUGUAUGAAGAAGGCCUUCGGGUUGUAAAGUUCUUUCAGCGGGGAGGAAGGCGAUACGGUUAAUAACCGUAUUGAUUGACGGUACCCGAAGAAGAAGCACCGGCUAACUCCGUG
RNAcentral lists this ribosomal RNA (488 nucleotides) under uncultured bacterium. Its description in RNAcentral is "partial 16S ribosomal RNA". It matches the Rfam family "Bacterial small subunit ribosomal RNA", at positions 30 to 507 of the family's 1533-position model. The record is from RNAcentral.